AUUUAAAUCCCCGGCGCUCCUCAGUCUAGGUGACGCGCAGUCGCCCCCCCAGGCAACGGCAGCAGCUGCGGCGGCUGCAAGGGCAGAUUCCGAGCUCUGGGGCGAAGGGGAGCAGAGGCUUGCCUUCCGCGCGCGGACUUCGCUCGCCCCCCCCCCCGGAGGUGGGGGCUGGGAGGCAUCCCCCUCUCGUCUCCGCCCCUUCCCCACAGCGCGCAGAAAGAUGAACUGGCAAGAGGUCUGUUUGCCUGGAGCCAUCAACAGCUGGGAAACUAAUCAACCACACUGAAAAUGUUCGGGGAUUUGUGGGGGAGGGGUUGGAAUGUAGAUGUUUGAAACAAAUGUGUAUAAAUAAAUGAAUUGUUCAUAACUUA
Long non-coding RNA from Hipposideros armiger (great roundleaf bat), 371 nucleotides. RefSeq lists it as uncharacterized. The record is from RefSeq and is a predicted model, not a curated record. The transcript has 2 exons. Lineage: Eukaryota; Metazoa; Chordata; Mammalia; Chiroptera; Hipposideridae.